UACAGAGGGGGCAAGCGUUGUCCGGAAUUACUGGGCGUAAAGGGCGUGCAGGCGGUUUGUUAAGUGCAGGGUGAAAGCUCCCGGCUCAACUGGGAGAGGUCCUUGCAUACUGGCGAACUCGAGGGAGGCAGAGGAAAGUGGAAUUCCCGGUGUAGUGGUGAUAUGCGUAGAUAUCGGGAGGAACACCUGUGGCGAAGGCGGCUUUCUGGGCCUUACCUGACGCUGGGACGCGAAAGCGUGGGGAGCGAACCGG
This 253-nucleotide ribosomal RNA is filed under the name uncultured bacterium. RNAcentral describes it as "partial 16S ribosomal RNA". It matches the Rfam family "Bacterial small subunit ribosomal RNA", at positions 524 to 776 of the family's 1533-position model. The record is from RNAcentral.